CCUACGGGUGGCUGCAGUGGGGAAUAUUGGGCAAUGGGCGCAAGCCUGACCCAGCAACGCCGCGUGAAGGAAGAAGGCUUUCUGGUUGUAAACUUCUUUUCUGAUGGACGAAGAAAGUGACGGUACCUCAGUAAUAAGCCACGGCUAACUACGUGCCAGCAGCCGCGGUAAUACGUAGGUGGCAAGCGUUAUCCGGAUUUAUUGGGUGUAAAGGGCGGGUAGGCGGGAAAGCAAGUCAGAUGUGAAAACUCAGGGCUCAACCCUGAGCCUGCAUUUGAAACUGUUUUUCUUGAGUGCUGGAGAGGUAAUCGGAAUUCGGGGUGUAGCGGUGAAAUGCGUAGAUAUACGGAGGAACACCAGUGGCGAAGGCGGAUUGCUGGACAGUAACUGACGCUGAGGCGCGAAAGCGUGGGGAGCAAACAGGAUUAGAUACCCUUGUAGUC
Molecule: ribosomal RNA, 443 nt
Filed under: uncultured bacterium
Lineage: Bacteria
Description: partial 16S ribosomal RNA
Rfam family: Bacterial small subunit ribosomal RNA
Source: RNAcentral